Molecule: long non-coding RNA, 2025 nt
Filed under: Lupinus mutabilis
Lineage: Eukaryota; Viridiplantae; Streptophyta; Magnoliopsida; Fabales; Fabaceae
Description: partial ncRNA
Source: RNAcentral
UUAUUAUUAUUAUUAUUAUUAUUAUUAUUAUUAUUAUUAUUAUUCAAAUUGUAAAUAUGGAUGAUGAGUAUGCUAAGCUUAUAAGAAGGAUGAACCCACCCAGGGUUGUGAUUGACAAUAAUGCAUGUGAAGAUGCUACUCUUAUUCAGGUAGACAGUGUCAACAAGCAUGGGAUUCUCCUGGAUGUUGUGCAAGUUCUCUCAGAUAUGAAUCUUAUCAUAACAAAGGCCUAUAUCUCCUCUGAUGGGUUGUGGUUCAUGGAUGUGUUUUAUGUGAUUGAUCGUAAUGGAAACAAGAUCAGAGAUACAGAAAUCAUUGAUUAUAUUCAGAGGAGACUUGAAAACAAUCCCAGCUUUGCACCCUCUAUGAGAGAGUCUGUUGGGGUUGUACCUUCUGAAGAGCACACCUCGAUUGAACUAACUGGUAUUGACAGGCCUGGUUUACUGUCCGAAGUCUGUGCUGUUCUCACCGACCUUCACUGUAAUGUGGUGAAUGCUGAGAUAUGGACACAUAAUAAUAGAGCUGCUGCUGUAGUUCAUGUGACAGAUGACUCCACUGGGUGCGCUAUCAAUAAUCCGUCCCGAAUCUCUAAAAUAAGGGACUUGCUUUGUAAUGUUCUUAGAGGGAGCAGUGAUCUAAAGACAGCAAGAAUGACACUAUCACCACCUGGAGUUACAAAUUGGGACAGAAGAUUACAUCAGAUUAUGUUUGCUGACAGGGACUAUGAAAAAAGGGUUGAAAGGGUAGGGCUAAGGGGAAGUAGAAAUGGAGAUACAAGUUCUUUUCCUCAUGUUUCUAUCAUAGACUGUAUUGAGAAAGAUUACACUGUGGUUACCAUGAGAGCAAAAGAUAGGCCGAAAUUAUUGUUCGAUAUUGUUUGCACUUUAACAGACAUGGAGUAUGUAGUAUAUCAUGGUGUUGUCCAGACAAUAAGAACAGAGGCUUAUCAGGUUUGCCAACUUUCUCGGUUUUGCUAUUAUGAAAUAAUGGUUCACCUUAUUAGCUUGGUACAUGAAAUUAGUGUUGGUAGCUAGACUAACAUAACUUUCCUUCAGGUAAUAUUUUUACAGAAAUUAAAUGGAUUUUGUAUUGUAAUAAGGUCAUCUGACUUGCUUUUUCUGCAUAAUUUUUUCUCUAAUGGAGCUUCCUCCCCUUAUCUAGGAGUUUUAUAUUCGGCAUGUUGAUGGCUUUCCCAUAAGCUCAGAGGCUGAGCGAGAACGUCUUAUACAGUGUCUUGAAGCAGCCAUUGAAAGGCGAGCAUCUGAGGGGAUGGAGUUGGAGUUGACCACAAUAGAUCGUGUUGGACUACUCUCAGAUAUCACAAGGAUAUUCCGAGAGAACAGUUUAUGUAUCAAACGAGCAGAAAUAUCAACAGAAAAUGGAAAGGCUAAAGAUACUUUUUAUGUCACAGAUGUGACAGGUAACCCAGUUGAUCCCAAGAUUAUUGAUUCCAUUCGCAGGCAGAUUGGUGACACGGCAUUGCAGGUGAAGCAUAACUCAAAUCUUUCACAAAAGUCCUCUCAAUCAACAACAAUUGGAUUUCUCUUUGGAAACCUUUUUAAGGCUGGAUCUUUUCAGAAUUUAAAGUCGAUGAGAUCUUAUUCUUAAGUCCUCCAUUGUUAAGUCUCAGCAUUUUCAUCAUGUUUCAAGUCAAGUGAAAAUGAAUAGAAGUAGAUGACUGUUUCCUCCCCUAAACAGAUGGGGCUUGGGAUUGAUACUGUACAGGAGAAAAAGCUUAAACACCUACUUGUAUUGUCUGUGUAAUUAGUUGUGCAUAGUAGCAUGUUACUUGAGAUGUAUAUAAAGCAGUCUAUGUAGAUAAUCAAGUCCAGUAGAGUAAAAAAAUACUUGUAGGUGGUAUAAUUUGUGGAACAAAUGUGAAUAUGGGCUUGUACAUGGAGUAAAGAGUACUUUUAGUUGAUGAAAUAAAAUGAAAAAAGUGCUGUGAUUUGUAUAUAAUUUGGAACAGGUGUGAAUAUGGGUUUGUACAUGGAGUGAAGAGUAGUUUUAGAUGAUGAAAUAAAG